RNAcentral lists this ribosomal RNA (823 nucleotides) under Phlyctis argena. RNAcentral describes it as "SSU rRNA". It matches the Rfam family "Bacterial small subunit ribosomal RNA", at positions 366 to 1256 of the family's 1533-position model. The record is from RNAcentral. Lineage: Eukaryota; Fungi; Ascomycota; Lecanoromycetes; Phlyctidaceae.
AGUUUAGCCUAACGGCUGAACCAGCAACUUGGAAGAAUGUAAAAGCGAAAGCGAAUUGUAUAAAUACAAAUUAACUAUGUUAAAUAAAGUUCUAGAUAUAAUACUGAUGAUGACAUAUUGUAUCUAUAAGUCUUGACCAAGUCACGUGCCAGCAGUCGCGGUAAUACGUGGAAGACUAGUGUUAUUCAUCUUUAAUAGGUUUAAAGGGUACCUAGACAGUUAAUUAAGCCAUAAAGGUACUAAUAAACUAGAGUUUGAUAUGAGAAGGGGAGUACGAUGAGUGUAGAGAUAAAAUUCGAUAAUACCAUUUAGAAACUGGUAACGGCGAAAGCAACCUUUUAUGUAAAAACUGACGUUGAGGGACGAAGGCUCGAUUAAGUAACAGGAUUAGAUACCCUAGUAUUGUGAGCAGACAAUGAUGAAUGUCAUGUAUAAGAUUUUAUUAAGAUUAUUUUUGUACAUAAAUGAAAGUGUAAGCAUUCCACCUCAAGAGUAAUAUGGCAACAUAGGAACUGAAAUCAUUAGACCGUUUCUGAAACCAGUAGUGAAGUAUGUUGUUUAAUUUGAUAGUCCACGUAAAACCUUACCACAAUUUGAAUAUUUAUAAUUAACUUAUAAUUACAGGAGUUGCACGGCUGUCUCCAGUUAAUGUCGUGAGAUUUUGGUUAGUUCCAUAAAAUUAACGUAAACCCUUACUUUAUUUUAUAUAAAGUAGUUCGCCGCUAUAUUGGUAAUGAUAUAAGGGAUUAAGACAAGUCAUCAUGGCCUUAAUAUUGUGGGCUAUAGACGUGCCACAUAUGCCUUAACAAAGAGAUGCUAUUAA